Molecule: ribosomal RNA, 252 nt
Filed under: uncultured bacterium
Lineage: Bacteria
Description: partial 16S ribosomal RNA
Rfam family: Bacterial small subunit ribosomal RNA
Source: RNAcentral
GACGUAGGGCGCAAGCGUUGUCCGGAAUUAUUGGGCGUAAAGAGCUCGUAGGCGGUCUGUCGCGUCGGCUGUGAAAACUCGGGGCUCAACUCCGAGCUUGCAGUCGAUACGGGCAGGCUAGAGUUCGGCAGGGGAGACUGAAUUCCUGGUGUAGCGGUGAAAUGCGCAGAUAUCAGGAGGAACACCGGUGGCGAAGGCGGCUCACUGGCCCGAUACUGACGCUGAGGCACGAAAGCGUGGGGAGCAAACAGG